This 1786-nucleotide long non-coding RNA is filed under the name Nicotiana benthamiana. RNAcentral's name for it is "long non-coding RNA (NBEN_LNC014262)". Lineage: Eukaryota; Viridiplantae; Streptophyta; Magnoliopsida; Solanales; Solanaceae. The record is from RNAcentral.
ACCGAUGUAUACUGAUUAGAAAAAGUAAACAAUGAAUCUAACAAAUUAGUUGGGUAAAGAUUACCUGAGAACUUUGGCACAUAAGGGGCAAGUUGAAAAAUCUCAACUUUAUAACCAGUGUUGAUUUUUUCCCAAACCUUAGCUUGAUAAUGAAGAAUUUUCCUAGAAAAUAAAUCCACAGCUUCCAAAGAAAUAUAAUAAAUUGCAUUAGCAGUAGCUUCAAAAUUAACAUUCAUAAUUCUCAAUAAUUCCAACUUUGAUUUUUCUGAUUUUUCAUUGUAUUUAUCUACAGCAAAAGUUGUAGCUUUUUUUGCUUUUUCAAAAGCUUCAGAAUUUUCGACAAUUUUCACUAUUCCACAUGGUAUUUUCCAACCAAAAUCGUUCAUCACAUAGAAACCCUACAUAUUUUUAUAAAAAAAUAGCAAAAAGAAGGAAGAAGUUAGUAUUCAACAGGGAACAAAAAAGGAAAUAACAAAAAACUUAUGAUAUAUCAAAACUAUAGAAAGUUAAAAACCAUACAGCUACAUGAAAACACACAAUAAAAAUAAAAUUUUAAAAAACAUGAAAUAUCAUAUUGGAUUGCAAGAACAACAACAACAACAACUACCCAGUAUACUCCCACCAGGUGGGGUCUGGGGAAGGUAAUAAAUGUUCAUGCAUUGGACAACAACAACAACAACAACAACUAACCAGUAUACUCCUACCAGGUGGGGUCUGGGGAGGGUAAUAUGUAGACAAGCGUUACCCCUACCCGAAAGGGCAGAGAGGCUGUUUACAAUCGACCCCCAGCUCAUAGUUUAAAAGGAAAAACAGCAGUAAAACAAAACAAAGACAAAAACACAAACAAUAGAGCAUUAGUAACUCCAGCAGAAAUAGCGUAAAUAGCGUAAAUAAUUAUCUAACCAUACGAAACAUAAAUACAAUCGCAUGCAAUAAUAUCAUACAGUAACUACCAUAACUAACAGUCAUAGGGGGACAUAAGCUAAAACACAAAUCAUCCAUAAGUAACCCUGCUGACCCAAUCUGGAUAAUUUUAAUUCAAUACUAAUAAUAAUAAUAAUAAUAAUAAUAAUAAUAAUAAUAAUAAUAAUAAUAAUAAUAAUCAUGCCAAUAGGUUCAAUUGAACUUUUAGUAUUUCUACAUAUAGAAAAUCACUAAAACUUUAACAAAUAUUAUGUUCUGAACUCAUAAAAAGAAAGAGAUUCGAUAGUGAGGAUAUAUAUAUAUAUAUAUAUAUAUAUAUAUAUAUAUAUAUUGAGUGUCAAAAUUAAAUCCUUGAAUUCACUUCUGGCUGUAAUAGAAUAACAACAAAAAUAACUUGAUUAGCAGCUAGGGAUAUUCACGAAAAAAUUGUAAAUACUUGAUAAAAUUAAUUUAACAACAAAUUUAUAAGCACCUUAACUAUUUAAAAAUGAUAAUUUAUGACAGAUAAAUUGUGUAGUUAAACAAUAAAAUCCAUCGCUGAUCCUAUUUAAUUACGAAUUAGCAACAAAUUAUUAAGAUUUAACGAAAGAUUAGCAACGAAGUUUGUACCUGACUCUCAAUGACAUCUUCCAAGUAUUCGUUUUGUUCGAAAGUAUACGUUGCCAUAAUUGGUACUGAAGAAAGAAUUGUUCUUAUUCGUGAAGAAGAAAGAGAUUAUUCGUAGAUGAAAACAAGAAGCUAAGGAAAGAAUAUCUUAUUCGUGAAGAAGAAAGAGAUUAUUUGUAGAUGAAAACAAGAAGCUAAGGAAAGAACCAAUAUAUAUAUAAGAGGUUUUACAACCAAAAUUUAUAUGAUAAAUCCC